Macaca mulatta (Rhesus monkey) is the source of this 1003-nucleotide non-coding RNA. The record is from RefSeq and is a predicted model, not a curated record. Lineage: Eukaryota; Metazoa; Chordata; Mammalia; Primates; Cercopithecidae.
GAAUGCACGCAUGGAAGAGGAUCAUCCUCUUGUUGGGCAACAGAGGAGACUGAGGCAAAGAGAAGAAACCUUUCUGAUGUGCUCCUCCUCACUGGACCUUUCUUAUCCAGCUUCCCUUCCAUGGCCCACACCCAGAGGCGGCAAUUGGCUGGCUGUGCACAAGGAUGAAAAUGGAUUAGAACCAGGGUAUGCACUGACCCAGGGACCAUGCGUCCAAAUGCUGUGGGAGUAAUGGGAGAUGCUGGCCAGCUGAGUGAUUGAAGCCACAGCUGCACAAGGGCAGAAGCCAUGCCGAGUUGCUAACAGCCAUGUGCUUCCUGUGCCUGACUGAACACAGAAGCUGCCCAAAAAAAUGACAGCUGCACGGAAGGACGGUACAAGCUGCCACAGGCUGAUGUACUCAGGUGGGGCUCCACGGGAGACUUCCUGGAAGAGGGGGCCUGGAGCUGAUGCUGAAGCACCACCUCUCCCAAAUCUCACAGGGCUCUCCUAGUCCUCCGUGGGUUCACAGCCGCCCCACCCAGCAGCCGGGUGGGGACUCUCACAUAUGUUCGCGCGCUUGGACACUGAUACCCGGAGAAGGGAAGAGGCAAGCCCAAGGGAGUCCACAGAAGAGCUGGAACCAGAACUGGGCUGUGUUUGACUGAGAGGAGAUGGCUGUGAGUGACACGGGGAGGGACUUCCGCCCUCGCUGCCCUACAACAACCCUUCAGAGAGCAGCGGUGCCUGGGCCUGGAAGUGUGAGUUUCCACUCUGAACAGAUGGUUGCAAUUACCAAGUGCAGGACGGGCAGGCGAGGAGCACACUCCCAUAGAGGGAGGGGAGCAGAGUGCUGCAGAAACAUCCCGAGCACAGGCCAGCUGGACCGUGACUCCUCCAGCACUGCAACUUCAAACAUGAAACUGCCUUCUUUUUGCUACUUCUCUCCACCACCUGGACAUAUGGUUCUGACAAUUUCAUACAAUUUUUAAAGACAAGAAAAAAGUUCUCUUUUCCUUGGAAA